UACGGGGGGAGCAAGCGUUGAUCGGAAUUACUGGGCGUAAAGGGCGUGUAGGCGGCCAUGUAAGUCGGGGGUGAAAUCCACUGGCUCAACCAGUGACGUGCCUUCGAAACUGAGUGGCUUGAGUAUGGCAGAGGGAAGCGGAAUUCCAGGUGUAGCGGUGAAAUGCGUAGAGAUCUGGAAGAACACCGGUGGCGUAGGCGGCUUCCUGGGCCAAUACUGACGCUGAUGCGCGAAAGCCAGGGGAGCAAACGGG
RNAcentral lists this ribosomal RNA (253 nucleotides) under uncultured bacterium. RNAcentral's name for it is "partial 16S ribosomal RNA". It matches the Rfam family "Bacterial small subunit ribosomal RNA", at positions 524 to 776 of the family's 1533-position model. The record is from RNAcentral.